AUGGUGCCGGGCCCUGAGCUGCCAGCGUCUGCGGGCCCCUUGCUAAGAAUGAAGGAGCAGGCCGGUCUCCGCCCUCCCGCGUCUCGUCUCAAGAGGAGGACACGCAAUGUCACCUUCAUCAGGCCCUCCUGGUUUUGCCCUUCACCUGUUGAAGACUCGGGACCACGCGUCCCCGGAAAGAGAAUUAAGGACACACGUACCACCAGCCAAUCUGAUACUGCAGGUGAGUGUCAGACGCAAAGCAACUCGGCAGGGGGGCUGUCCCGUGGAAGGUUUUGGAGAAUUGUUUUCUGAGGCAACGGCUUUGAUUCUAAAUACUUAAUCUCUUCCAAGGUGCAGUCUCCUCUGAAGCCAAGAUCCACCUGUAAGCUCCACAAGCACCAGCAGGAAGCUGUCCUGCCUACAUCUGUCCCACAGGUUCCCAGGGCCUGGUUCUAGGAGGCAGACAUCUCGGCUCUGCCCUUGACCAUGAUCUGGGGCCGAGCUGAAGCAGAGGGUGCAGGUGGAGGCCCCCAGCGCCAGAGUAAUGAUCGCCCGGGGCCGGGUCUCCCGAGUCCUGUCUCCGCAGGCUUCGCACCAGGAGUGAGAGCUGUCCGGGUGCAGAAGCGCCGCUGUCUUCAUGUCCCUGGAUUCGUCACAAUUCCCCAGAGAAACAGAAGCCGGGCGGCCGUGGCUUCCCGGUGGAGCCUGCAAGUCAGCGUGGAGCUUCUAGGAAGAGCCUGACGUUCUGAUAACAGACUGGAGUUGCUUAGGGUCAGUAUUAGUAACUGACCUGUAUUUUCUCCACUCAAGACCGCACCUCAUCUCCAGCUUUGUAUUGUAUUUUAGCCUGAAGACACCUUGGCUGUCUCCCUUCUCAUCCUGUGACAGUGUCCUGUGAAGACAAAAGUUAUGGUGGCCACUGUCCAUGAAUCGGUGACUUUGCAGGUGGGAUGAAGUAUCCGACUCUUCCCAGGUCUUUUUUUUUUUUAACUCACUGGAUCUUAGUAUAAUUACAGUUGUGCAAAAGCAUCAUCACAACCCAGUGUUACAUUUCCACUCCACACCCCCAGCCCAUCCCUCUCCCGCCCCAACCUGUCUCCUUUGGUAACCACAGUUUUUCAAAUUCUGUGAGUCAGUUUCUGUCCUGCAAAUAAGAUCACUGUAUCCUUUGUUCAUAUGCGCUGCAUAAGGUCACAUGCUGUCCACAUGUAAGUGAUAGCAUAUGGCACUGGUGUCUCACUAACUUCACUUAGCAGGAUAAUCUCUAGGUCCAUCCAUGUUGCUACAAAUGCCAUUAUUUCCUUCCUUUUAAUGGCUGAGUAAUAUUCCAUUGUGUAUAUGUACCUCAUCUUCUGAAUCCACUCCUCUGUCGAUGGACAUUUAGGUUGUUUCCAUGUCUUGGCUAUUGUAAAUAGUGCUGCAAUGAACACUGGAGUACCUGUGUCUUUUCGAGUCAUGGUUUUCUCUGGAUAGAUGCCCAGGAGUGGGACUGCUGGAUCAAAUGGUAGUUCUAUUUUUAGUUUUUUGAGGACCCUCCAUACUGUUUUCCAUAGUGGUUGCACCAAUUAACACUCCCACCAACAGUGUGUAUGUAAUAAGGUUCCCUCUUCUCCACACCCUCUCCAGCACUUACCGUUUGUAGACUUUUUGAUGAUGGCCAUUGUGACUGGUGUAAGGUGUUAGCUCAUAGUAGUUUUGAUUUGCGUUUCUCUAAUAACUAGUGACAUUGAACAUCUUUUCAUGCGCCUACUGGUCAUGUGGUUUAUGUCUUUUUUUGAGAAUUGUCUGUUUAGAGCUUCUGCCCAUUUUUUGAUGGGGUUGUUUGUGUUUUUGGUAUGGAGCUGCAAGAGGUAUUUAUAUAUUUUGGAGAUGAAUCCCCUGUCAGUCACUUCACUUGCAAAUGUUUUCUCUCAUUUUGUGGGUUGUCUUUUUGUGUUGUUUAGGGUUUCCUUUUAAUUAGAUCCUAUUUGUUUACUUGUGUUCUUAUUGUCGUUACUCUAGGAGGUGAGUCUAAGAUGUUGUUGUGGUUUAUGUCAAAGUGUUCCGCCUAUGUUUUCCUCUAAGAGUUUUAUAGUAUCUGGUCUUAUAUUUAGGUCUUUAAUCCAUUUUGAGCUUAUUUUUGUGUAUGGUAUAAGGGAAUGUUCUAAUUUCAUUCUUUUACAUGUAGCUGUCCAGUUUUCCCAGCACCACUUAUUAAAGGGACUGUCUUUUUCUCCAGUGUAUAUUCUUGCCUCUUUUGUCAAAGAUUAACUGACCAUAGGUGUCUGGGUCCCAUUGGUUAUUUUUGUUUUUAUUGUCGUUACUCUAGGAGGUGGAUGUG
Molecule: long non-coding RNA, 2302 nt
Filed under: Sus scrofa (pig)
Lineage: Eukaryota; Metazoa; Chordata; Mammalia; Artiodactyla; Suidae
Description: lncRNA (ENSSSCG00045016689.1)
Source: RNAcentral